UGGCCCGUGGUGUAAUUGGCAACUCGCCUGACUCUGGAUCAGGAGAGUCCAGGUUCGAACCCUGGCGGGCCAA
Molecule: transfer RNA, 73 nt
Filed under: Gemmatimonadota bacterium
Lineage: Bacteria; Pseudomonadati; Gemmatimonadota
Description: Gemmatimonadetes bacterium (beach sand metagenome) tRNA-Gln
Rfam family: tRNA
About the family: Transfer RNA (tRNA) molecules are approximately 80 nucleotides in length. Their secondary structure includes four short double-helical elements and three loops (D, anti-codon, and T loops).
Source: RNAcentral